This 253-nucleotide ribosomal RNA is filed under the name uncultured bacterium. Its description in RNAcentral is "partial 16S ribosomal RNA". It matches the Rfam family "Bacterial small subunit ribosomal RNA", at positions 524 to 776 of the family's 1533-position model. The record is from RNAcentral.
GACGAACCGUGCGAACGUUGUUCGGAAUCACUGGGCAUAAAGGGCGCGUAGGCGGCUUUUCAAGUCAGGGGUGAAAUCCGGCAGCUCAACUGUCGAAGUGCCCUUGAUACUGAUGAGCUCGAGGGAGGUAGGGGUGUGUGGAACUUCCGGUGGAGCGGUGAAAUGCGUUGAUAUCGGAAGGAACGCCGGUGGCGAAAGCGGCGCACUGGACCUCUUCUGACGCUGAGGCGCGAAAGCCAGGGGAGCAAACGGG